GAAAUGCGAUACGUAAUGUGAAUUGCAGAAUUCAGUGAAUCAUCGAAUCUUUGAACGCAUAUUGCGCUCUCUGGUAUUCCGGAGAGCAUGCUUGUUUGAGUAUCAGUAAACACCUCAACUCCUCUUUCUUUUUUGGAAAUGGGAGCUGGACUUGAGUGAUCCCAACGCUUUUCUCACCGAAAAGUGGCGGGUUACUUGAAAUGCAGGUGCAGCUGGACUUUUCUCUGAGCUAAAAGCAUAUCUAUUUAGUCUGCCUAAAAAGAAAGAGGAGUUGAGGUGUUUACUGAUGCAGGAUUCACAAAGACAGGCUUCGGCCGACUUUGUAAACUCGAUCUCAAAUCAAGUAAGACUACCCGCUGAACUUAA
RNAcentral lists this unclassified non-coding RNA (366 nucleotides) under uncultured fungus. RNAcentral describes it as "sequence contains ITS1". The stretch from base 1 to 105 matches the Rfam family "5.8S ribosomal RNA", at positions 50 to 154 of the family's 154-position model. Lineage: Eukaryota; Fungi. The record is from RNAcentral.